This 440-nucleotide ribosomal RNA is filed under the name uncultured bacterium. Its description in RNAcentral is "partial 16S ribosomal RNA". It matches the Rfam family "Bacterial small subunit ribosomal RNA", at positions 338 to 795 of the family's 1533-position model. The record is from RNAcentral.
CCUACGGGAGGCAGCAGUGGGGGAUAUUGCACAAUGGGGGAAACCCUGAUGCAGCGACGCCGCGUGAGUGAAGAAGUAUUUCGGUAUGUAAAGCUCUAUCAGCAGGGAAGAAAAUGACAGUACCUGACCAAGAAGCCCCGGCUAACUACGUGCCAGCAGCCGGGGUAAUACGUAGGGGGCAAGGGUUAUCCGGAUUUACUGGGUGUAAAGGGGGCGUAGACGGUUUUGUAAGUCUGGAGUGAAAGCCCGGGGCCCAACCCCGGGACUGCUUUGGAAACUGUGUGACUGGAGUACAGGAGGGGCAGGCGGAAUUCGUGGUGUAGCGGUGAAAUGCGUAGAUAUCAGGAGGAACACCGGCGGCGAAGGCGGCAUGCUGGACUGAAACUGACGUUGAGGCUCGAAAGCGUGGGGAGCGAACAGGAUUAGAUACCCGAGUAGUC